Molecule: ribosomal RNA, 500 nt
Filed under: uncultured bacterium
Lineage: Bacteria
Description: partial 16S ribosomal RNA
Rfam family: Bacterial small subunit ribosomal RNA
Source: RNAcentral
AUUGAACGCUGGCGGAAUGCUUUACACAUGCAAGUCGAACGGCAGCACGGACUUCGGUCUGGUGGCGAGUGGCGAACGGGUGAGUAAUGUAUCGGAACGUGCCCAGUCGUGGGGGAUAACGUAGUGAAAAUUACGCUAAUACCGCAUACGAUCUAUGGAUGAAAGCGGGGGAUCGCAAGACCUCGCGCGAUUGGAGCGGCCGAUAUCAGAUUAGGUAGUUGGUAGGGUAAAGGCCCACCAAGCCAACGAUCUGUAGCUGGACUGUGAGGACGACCAGCCACAAUGGAACUGAGACACGGUCCAGACUCCUACGGGAGGAAGCAGUGGGGAAUUUUGGACAAUGGGCGAAAGCCUGAUCCAGCCAUUCCGCGUGCAGGAUGAAGGCCCUCGGGUUGUAAACUGCUUUUGUACAGAACGAAAAGGUUUCUACUAAUACUAGGAGCUCAUGACGGUACUGUAAGAAUAAGCACCGGCUAACUACGUGCCAGCCGCCGCCGUAA